Molecule: non-coding RNA, 29 nt
Filed under: Mus musculus (house mouse)
Lineage: Eukaryota; Metazoa; Chordata; Mammalia; Rodentia; Muridae
Source: RNAcentral
UCUUAAGAAGUGCCCAGGAGCCUGUCUCA